GGGUUGUGAGGUUAAGCGACUAAGCGUACACGGUGGAUGCCCUGGCAGUCAGAGGCGAUGAAGGGCGUGCUAAUCUGCGAUAAGCGCCGGUAAGGUGAUAUGAACCGUUAUAACCGGCGAUACCCGAAUGGGGAAACCCAGUGUGAUUCGUCACACUAUCAUUAACUGAAUCCAUAGGUUAAUGAGGCGAACCGGGGGAACUGAAACAUCUAAGUACCCCGAGGAAAAGAAAUCAACCGAGAUUCCCCCAGUAGCGGCGAGCGAACGGGGAGGAGCCCAGAGCCUGAAUCAGCAUGUGUGUUAGUGGAAGCGUCUGGAAAGGCGCGCGAUACAGGGUGACAGCCCCGUACACAAAAGCGCAUGUGCUGUGAGCUCGAUGAGUAGGGCGGGACACGUGGUAUCCUGUCUGAAUAUGGGGGGACCAUCCUCCAAGGCUAAAUACUCCUGACUGACCGAUAGUGAACCAGUACCGUGAGGGAAAGGCGAAAAGAACCCCGGCGAGGGGAGUGAAAAAGAACCUGAAACCGUGUACGUACAAGCAGUGGGAGCACCCUUUGGGGUGUGACUGCGUACCUUUUGUAUAAUGGGUCAGCGACUUAUAUUCUGUAGCAAGGUUAACCGAAUAGGGGAGCCGGAGGGAAACCGAGUCUUAAUUGGGCGUUAAGUUGCAGGGUAUAGACCCGAAACCCGGUGAUCUAGCCAUGGGCAGGUUGAAGGUUGGGUAACACUAACUGGAGGACCGAACCGACUAAUGUUGAAAAAUUAGCGGAUGACCUGUGGCUGGGGGUGAAAGGCCAAUCAAACCGGGAGAUAGCUGGUUCUCCCCGAAAGCUAUUUAGGUAGCGCCUCGUGAAUUCAUCUCCGGGGGUAGAGCACUGUUUCGGCUAGGGGGCCAUCCCGGCUUACCAACCCGAUGCAAACUGCGAAUACCGGAGAAUGUUAUCACGGGAGACACACGGCGGGUGCUAACGUCCGUCGUGAAGAGGGAAACAACCCAGACCGCCAGCUAAGGUCCCAAAGUCAUGGUUAAGUGGGAAACGAUGUGGGAAGGCCCAGACAGCCAGGAUGUUGGCUUAGAAGCAGCCAUCAUUUAAAGAAAGCGUAAUAGCUCACUGGUCGAGUCGGCCUGCGCGGAAGAUGUAACGGGGCUAAACCAUGCACCGAAGCUGCGGCAGCGAACGUAUCACCCAAGACAACUUUACGGAGUUGACGAUUGACGGAGCGAAGCGACGUCAAAGCGUUCAUUAAAGUCGAGUUGGCUUAGGGAUACGUUCGUUGGGUAGGGGAGCGUUCUGUAAGCCUGUGAAGGUGUGUCGUGAGGCAUGCUGGAGGUAUCAGAAGUGCGAAUGCUGACAUAAGUAACGAUAAAGCGGGUGAAAAGCCCGCUCGCCGGAAGACCAAGGGUUCCUGUCCAACGUUAAUCGGGGCAGGGUGAGUCGACCCCUAAGGCGAGGCCGAAAGGCGUAGUCGAUGGGAAACGGGUUAAUAUUCCCGUACUUGGUGUUACUGCGAAGGGGGGACGGAGAAGGCUAUGUUGGCCGGGCGACGGUUGUCCCGGUUUAAGCGUGUAGGUGUGUGUUCCAGGUAAAUCCGGUUCACUUUAACACUGAGGCGUGACGACGAGGCACUACGGUGCUGAAGCAACAAAUGCCCUGCUUCCAGGAAAAGCCUCUAAGCAUCAGGUAACAUCAAAUCGUACCCCAAACCGACACAGGUGGUCAGGUAGAGAAUACCAAGGCGCUUGAGAGAACUCGGGUGAAGGAACUAGGCAAAAUGGUGCCGUAACUUCGGGAGAAGGCACGCUGAUAUGUAGGUGAAGUGAUUUACUCAUGGAGCUGAAAUCAGUCGAAGAUACCAGCUGGCUGCAACUGUUUAUUAAAAACACAGCACUGUGCAAACACGAAAGUGGACGUAUACGGUGUGACGCCUGCCCGGUGCCGGAAGGUUAAUUGAUGGGGUCAGCGCAAGCGAAGCUCCUGAUCGAAGCCCCGGUAAACGGCGGCCGUAACUAUAACGGUCCUAAGGUAGCGAAAUUCCUUGUCGGGUAAGUUCCGACCUGCACGAAUGGCGUAAUGAUGGCCAGGCUGUCUCCACCCGAGACUCAGUGAAAUUGAACUCGCUGUGAAGAUGCAGUGUACCCGCGGCAAGACGGAAAGACCCCGUGAACCUUUACUAUAGCUUGACACUGAACAUUGAGCCUUGAUGUGUAGGAUAGGUGGGAGGCUUUGAAGCGUGGACGCCAGUCUGCGUGGAGCCGACCUUGAAAUACCACCCUUUAAUGUUUGAUGUUCUAACGUGGACCCGUAAUCCGGGUUGCGGACAGUGUCUGGUGGGUAGUUUGACUGGGGCGGUCUCCUCCUAAAGAGUAACGGAGGAGCACGAAGGUUGGCUAAUCCUGGUCGGACAUCAGGAGGUUAGUGCAAUGGCAUAAGCCAGCUUGACUGCGAGCGUGACGGCGCGAGCAGGUGCGAAAGCAGGUCAUAGUGAUCCGGUGGUUCUGAAUGGAAGGGCCAUCGCUCAACGGAUAAAAGGUACUCCGGGGAUAACAGGCUGAUACCGCCCAAGAGUUCAUAUCGACGGCGGUGUUUGGCACCUCGAUGUCGGCUCAUCACAUCCUGGGGCUGAAGUAGGUCCCAAGGGUAUGGCUGUUCGCCAUUUAAAGUGGUACGCGAGCUGGGUUUAGAACGUCGUGAGACAGUUCGGUCCCUAUCUGCCGUGGGCGCUGGAGAACUGAGGGGGGCUGCUCCUAGUACGAGAGGACCGGAGUGGACGCAUCACUGGUGUUCGGGUUGUCAUGCCAAUGGCACUGCCCGGUAGCUAAAUGCGGAAGAGAUAAGUGCUGAAAGCAUCUAAGCACGAAACUUGCCCCGAGAUGAGUUCUCCCUGAGACUUAGAGUCUCCUGAAGGAACGUUGAAGACGACGACGUUGAUAGGCCGGGUGUGUAAGCGCAGCGAUGCGUUGAGCUAACCGGUACUAAUGAACCGUGAGGCUUAACCUUACAACGCCGAAG
RNAcentral lists this ribosomal RNA (3011 nucleotides) under Salmonella enterica subsp. enterica serovar Saintpaul. RNAcentral describes it as "23S ribosomal RNA". It matches the Rfam family "Bacterial large subunit ribosomal RNA". The record is from RNAcentral. Lineage: Bacteria; Pseudomonadati; Pseudomonadota; Gammaproteobacteria; Enterobacterales; Enterobacteriaceae.